RNAcentral lists this transfer RNA (65 nucleotides) under Cephalochlamys namaquensis. RNAcentral's name for it is "tRNA-Pro". Lineage: Eukaryota; Metazoa; Platyhelminthes; Cestoda; Pseudophyllidea; Cephalochlamydidae. The record is from RNAcentral.
CUUAUCUUAGUUUAAAACUAGAAUGUGGGUUUUGGGGAUCCUUGGUCUUUAUAAAAGAGGUUUGA